CCUACGGGUGACAGCAGUCGGGAAUAUUGCGCAAUGGAGGAAACUUUGACGCAGUGACGCCGCGUAUAGGAAGAAGGUUUUCGGAUUGUAAACUAUUGUCGUUAGGGAAGAUAAAAGACAGUACCUAAGGAGGAAGCCCCGGCUAACUAUGUGCAAGCAGCCGCGGGAAUACAUAGGGGGCAAGCGUUAUCCGGAAUUAUUGGGUGUAAAGGGUGCGUAGGCGUAAGAAGGAGUUGGUUGUGAAAUCCCUCGGCUCAACUGAGGAACUGCAACCAAAACUAGUCUCCUAGAGUGUCGGAGAGGAAAGUGGAAUUCCAAGUGUAGCGGUGAAAUGCGUAGAUAUAUGGAGGAACACCAGAGGCGAAGGCGACUUUCUGGACGAUAACUGACGCUGAGGCACGAAAGUGUGGGGAGCAAACAGGAUUAGAUACCCCUGUAGUC
RNAcentral lists this ribosomal RNA (441 nucleotides) under uncultured bacterium. Its description in RNAcentral is "partial 16S ribosomal RNA". It matches the Rfam family "Bacterial small subunit ribosomal RNA", at positions 338 to 795 of the family's 1533-position model. The record is from RNAcentral.